Molecule: ribosomal RNA, 119 nt
Filed under: Diaphorina citri (Asian citrus psyllid)
Lineage: Eukaryota; Metazoa; Arthropoda; Insecta; Hemiptera; Psyllidae
Source: RNAcentral
ACUAGCGGCGAUAGCACGUUGAAUGCAACAGUUCCGCAUAGAUCACUGAAGUUAAGCAACGUUGCGUGUGGUUAGUACCUGGAUGGGUGACCAUCUGAGGAAUCCACAUGCUGCUGGGU